Molecule: ribosomal RNA, 553 nt
Filed under: uncultured archaeon
Lineage: Archaea
Description: bacterial SSU rRNA
Rfam family: Archaeal small subunit ribosomal RNA
Source: RNAcentral
CGGGGUGCAGCAGGCGCGAAAACUUUACAAUGCUGGCAACAGCGAUAAGGGGACCUCGAGUGCCAGGAUACAAUCUUGGCUGUCGCGAUGCCUAAAAAGCAUUGCAUAGCAAGGGCCGGGCAAGACCGGUGCCAGCCGCCGCGGUAACACCGGCGGCUCGAGUGGUAACCGCUAUUAUUGGGUCUAAAGGGUCUGUAGCCGGCCGGAUAAGUCUUUUGGGAAAUCCAGCUGCUCAACAGUUGGGCUUUCAGAAGAUACUGUUCGGCUCGAGACCGGGAGAGGUGAGAGGUACUUCAGGGGUAGGGGUGAAAUCUUGUAAUCCUUGAAGGACCACCAGUGGCGAAGGCGUCUCACCAGAACGGAUCUGACGGCAAGGGACGAAAGCUAGGGGCACGAACCGGAUUAGAUACCCGGGUAGUCCUAGCCGUAAACGAUACUCGCUAGGUGUCAGCCACGGUGCGACCGUGGUUGGUGCCGUAGGGAAGCCGUGAAGCGAGCCACCUGGGAAGUACGGCCGCAAGGCUGAAACUUAAAGGAAUUGGCGGGGGAGCAC